AACGAACGCUGGCGGCAUGCCUAACACAUGCAAGUCGAACGAUUGCCUUCGGGUGAUAGUGGCGCACGGGUGCGUAACGCGUGGGAAUCUGCCCUUAGGUUCGGAAUAACAGCUGGAAACGGCUGCUAAUACCGGAUGAUAUCGCGAGAUCAAAGAUUUAUCGCCUGAGGAUGAGCCCGCGUUGGAUUAGGUAGUUGGUGGGGUAAAGGCCUACCAAGCCGACGAUCCAUAGCUGGUCUGAGAGGAUGAUCAGCCACACUGGGACUGAGACACGGCCCAGACUCCUACGGGAGGCAGCAGUGGGGAAUAUUGGACAAUGGGCGAAAGCCUGAUCCAGCAAUGCCGCGUGAGUGAUGAAGGCCCUAGGGUUGUAAAGCUCUUUUACCAGGGAAGAUAAUGACUGUACCGGGAGAAUAAGCCCCGGCUAACUCCGUG
RNAcentral lists this ribosomal RNA (435 nucleotides) under uncultured bacterium. RNAcentral's name for it is "partial 16S ribosomal RNA". It matches the Rfam family "Bacterial small subunit ribosomal RNA", at positions 29 to 507 of the family's 1533-position model. The record is from RNAcentral.